This 335-nucleotide unclassified non-coding RNA is filed under the name Hevea brasiliensis (rubber tree). The record is from RNAcentral. Lineage: Eukaryota; Viridiplantae; Streptophyta; Magnoliopsida; Malpighiales; Euphorbiaceae.
AUAUCAUUUGUAAACUGUUUGUAUGUCCAGCAUGCAUUUCCAAAGUCCACCAAUUUGCACUUCAGGUCAACUGAGGCCAGCAGUUUCUUCCUUGUGGAGUGGCUUUCCCUCUUUNNNNNCUAAAUCAUUGCUCUUCGUUCCAUCGGCAUCAGAUCCACUGUUUAUAUUGUCAGAACUAGUAGGCCGAUCUUCAGCUGAACCCACAUUUGUUUUAGCAUUAGCAGAUGACUCCUCUUUAGCAUAUUUUUCAGGAUCUGCAUCAGCUUCAGCAGAAACUUCCUUUUCCACACAACCCUGAGCUGCUCGCUUAGCCUUUCUUCGUAUCUUUUUCUUUU